UUGCCUGCAUACCAUAAAUAUGAAAACCAUAAAUAUAAUUUGAUCCUACUACAAGAUAAAUGGGUAUAAGAAAGUUCUAGACUUCGAAAGCUUAGAGGAUUAUUACUAACACUUAAUCAGUUCCAUAAGCUUUGUUGUCUAUUUGAGCUUCACAGGCUUCAAAGGAUCAAGAAGAAUCAAUAGGAAGAAGGACAUCCUAUCCCCUGUCGGAGUACUGUGUCUACAUCAGGCAAGUGUUAUUUCUGAUAGCAAGUACCUAUGACGCUCCAAGAGGAUCAGUACGCCUUCACUGCGUGUCAGCAACCUUAGCAGACUAUGUCAACAUCUAGCUUAGGGAAGAGCAACCCCUGUUUAUCGAGCUAAGUAUCUCUUACUUACUCAUCUAUCUAUUCCUAGUGCGUUAUGAUAAGAUAAAAAGAUGAAUAACAUUAGAAACCUAAUAAAUAUUUUAUGUUUCAUAAUUAAUUUUGCUAGCUAUGGAGAGAUCUCAAGGAAUCUGUUAAAAUAAACCUCUAGAAUAAAUUCUUAUAUGGAGAUGAUGACUAGUUGCUCUACCGUAAUUCCUUGCAAGUAUCUAGUUUUCAACCUUGUAUUCUCUAGAGUUUUGGACACAACUGUUUAGACUUAAGAUUUUGCUCUAAAACUUGUGGGUAGUAAUUGCUUAAUCUAAGUCUAGGUAGUUGGCGGAUAUGAUAUGAGAAGGUCUUGAGCUACUAUCAAACUUGGUCCUAGAGAUGCUAGAGUUCUGGAGAAUUUAUUUUGAAAAUUUUAAAUGCUACAUGAUGAGUUCCUUUAUGACGAGAGUUUAAAAUGCCUACCACAGCCAAAUACUCAUGCUUGCUAGAUUAGGAAAACCACCACUUUUACUUCAACCUAUAAACAUUGAGGAUAGUUAAGUUGUGUAGACCCUAAGGAACUAGUCAUGCAGUUAAAGUUAAUAUUAUGUGCUCUCCAUCCAUUCAUGUUAGCUACUUCUGUCCUUAGAAGUACGCAACCACUUACGUCCACCACAUUCACUAUAUGCUACUUCUGUCCCUAGAAGUACCACCCACAUAUACGCACUUCACUCUGUGUUGUUUCUAUCCUGGAGACACGCACAUCCACUUAUAAAAAUGUUCUACUCCUACAGUGGGAGGGAAUACCCAAAAAUAUCUAUUGCCAUUAUGUCUUAUUCUACUUAUCUAAUAAAGCUCCAGUUAUACUCCCUGCUGUUAUCAGUAUAUUAAAAGGGUUGGCUGAUCUCUAAAAAAAUAAGAAAAGAAAGAAAGAGGACAAAAGUCCCAAUGAAAAAGAAAAGAAAGACAGCCAAGUCCUUAUUCUUAGUUUAGGGAGGUAUGUUUUUCCCCAAGAAGCAAAUGUAGAAUUAGAUAUUCACCAUCAGUAAUCACCCCUCACAACCACUUCCAUCCUUAUCAUCCACUUCAUUCACUCACAUGCACACAUGACUUGAUUGUAUAAUUAGUUUCUAUAGAUCCACGGUUUAACUAUACAAUAUAUGUAUGUAGGUUUUAAUAGUCUUUCCCACCUAUGAGCUCCACAUAAGCCAAUUAGAAGUAGGGUGAGAGAGAGAAGGCAACUAUGACUUAGUCCUAUAAAUACUACAUAUUCUGAGAGCUGAGAGAAGGCAUACUCACUUGCCUUGGAGAGGAUCCAAAAAUACUACAUACGAGAGUCUGGAAUGUGUCAUAUAAGGAAAAUUUGAGUUUUAUUUGAAAAGUUUGCAAAACUCUAGAAUAAUAGUUGAUCAAAGGGUGAGUAGGAUAGUGCUCGACAUAACUAUUCUUUCUUUCAACUGCCCAAGACCUAAGUGAUAGCUAGAAGCUCCAUGGUGAAAGGUAAUAUGGGUAAGUUUUGAGUAAGAAUAGUUCACUCUAAUCCGGUGUGGUGUGAAAGCAUUGCAGCAACUCCUGAUCCAUCACUUAGUCUAUCUUUGCUCAGGGACAAGCAAAAGAUAAGCUUGGGGGAGUUUGUUGAUGGCAGAUAAGUACUCUUUAUAACCAUCAACAUAGCAUGAGAAAGGCUUAAAAUCAAAAUAUUAUUUAGCUAUAGGGGUUAUCACAAAUUGAAUUCCACAAGUUUUGGUAUUUAUCUAUUUGUGUAGGGGGUUAUCGGAAUAAGAACCGAAGGAGGCCCAC
Molecule: long non-coding RNA, 2135 nt
Filed under: Sorghum bicolor (sorghum)
Lineage: Eukaryota; Viridiplantae; Streptophyta; Magnoliopsida; Poales; Poaceae
Description: long non-coding RNA (SBIC_LNC004493)
Source: RNAcentral